RNAcentral lists this unclassified non-coding RNA (310 nucleotides) under plant metagenome. Its description in RNAcentral is "partial contains 5.8S ribosomal RNA, internal transcribed spacer 2, and large subunit ribosomal RNA". The stretch from base 1 to 105 matches the Rfam family "5.8S ribosomal RNA", at positions 50 to 154 of the family's 154-position model. The record is from RNAcentral.
GGAAUGCGAUAAGUAGUGUGAAUUGCAGAAUUCAGUGAAUCAUCGAAUCUUUGAACGCAUAUUGCGCCCCUUGGUAUUCCAUGGGGCAUGCCUGUUCGAGCGUCAUUUGUACCCUCAAGCUCUGCUUGGUGUUGGGUGUUUGUCCCCGUCUCCGCGCGUGGACUCGCCCCAAAGUGAUUGGCAGCCGGCGUACUGGUCCCGGAGCGCAGCACAUGUCGCGCAAACGAGUGCCUUGGUACGGCGGCGUCCAUAAGCCCCUCUCUCACGCUCUUGACCUCGGAUCAGGUAGGGAUACCCGCUGAACUUAAGC